GUCACUCGGUGUCCUGGGGUGAGAUGUGCCGCCCCAUGUGUUGACAAGGGACCAUGCUGUGACCUUCGGUGUCUCCCAGCUGGCUCAUGUGUCUCACCCCUCCCUCCUCUGCAGAGCGCCCCUUUGGCGACCUGUUCCCCAGCACCAGGCAGGACGGGGCCAAGAGCUUCGACCUCGCCAACCUGGCUGACUCCCUGCCUGAAUCCGGCAAGGAGCGCAAGGACUGUAAAACCCCCGAGGCCUUUCUGGGCCCCGCCGCUCUCCCUGGUAACCUGGACUCCCUGGUCGCACUACUCCAGCCUCCAAGACCCGCAACCCUUUCCUCUCGGGUCUGAGCACGCCGUCCCCCACCAACCCCUUCAGCCUGUCCGAGCAGCCCAAGCCGACACUGAACCAGAUGCGGACCAGCUCGCCGGUGCCCGGCCUGCCCGCCGGCCACCCCGCCAACUCCAUGACCUACAGCGCGUCCCUGCCGCUGCCCCUCAGCAGCGUCCCCGCCGCCACCGCUGCCCUCCCCGCCUCCGCCAGUGCCUUCCCGCAGGCUGGCGCCUUCCCCGAACUCCCCAGCACCUUGCCGCAGCCUUUACUGCCGCUGAGCGGCCCCCCGGCCCCGCCGUCCGCGCCCGGGGGGCUCAACCCCUUCCUCUGAACCCUCUGGACAUGUGAACUGUCGCCCUUUCCCCAGCUGUUACGAUCCCCCCCGAAUCUUUCCUUCCACCAAGACUUGGGGGUUUGCUAAGCUGCACGGGAGGGUGCCCCCCACCCAGCCCCCUCUCCGUGCCCAGUGUGGGGGGCAGCCAGCAUGAGCCCCCGCGCUCCACGGGCAACCGGGGACCCCUUCCCGUGCGAGGGCCGGCGUGGGGGGCCACGGUGGGGCUGGCUGGGGGGCAGCCAGCAUGAGCCCCGGUGCUUGGUGGGCAGAAGGGAACCCCCUUCCCGUGUGAGGGGCCAUGGCGGGGCCCUUACCAAGGGCUGCGGUGCGGGGGCUGCGGUGCGGGCUCCUCACGGCACGGGGUCCGGCUGCUGGAUGGACCCGGCAUGAGGAGGGGGCUUUGGCCGGGCUCCUGCGGGGAGCUGGAGCGCGGGGCCGGGGGUGGAGCUGGGGUCUCCCACCCGCCGGUUCGCGCUCCCUCGCUGCUCCCCCCCGCCCGCUGCUGGGCACCGCCCGGGUGCGGGGGGCGGCGGCGGCGGCGGCUGCGGGUGCCCGUGCGACAAUAAACUGCGCUGAG
Molecule: long non-coding RNA, 1229 nt
Filed under: Malurus cyaneus samueli
Lineage: Eukaryota; Metazoa; Chordata; Aves; Passeriformes; Maluridae
Description: lncRNA (ENSMCSG00000007079.1)
Source: RNAcentral